CCAGGCCCUACGGGGUGCAGCAGGCGCGAAACCUCCGCAAUGUGAGAAAUCGCGACGGGGGGAUCCCAAGUGCCAUUCUUAACGGGAUGGCUUUUCAUUAGUGUAAAGAGCUUUUGGAAUAAGAGCUGGGCAAGACCGGUGCCAGCCGCCGCGGUAACACCGGCAGCUCUAGUGGUAGCAGUUUUUAUUGGGCCUAAAGCGUCCGUAGCCGGUUUAAUAAGUCUCUGGUGAAAUCCUGCAGCUUAACUGUGGGAAUUGCUGGAGAUACUAUUAGACUUGAGACCGGGAGAGGUUAGAGGUACUCCCAGGGUAGAGGUGAAAUUCUGUAAUCCUGGGAGGACCGCCUGUUGCGAAGGCGUCUGACUGGAACGAUUCUGACGGUGAGGGACGAAAGCUAGGGGCGCGAACCGGAUUAGAUACCCGGGUAGUCCUAGCUGUAAACGAUGCGGACUUGGUGUUGGGGUGGCUUUGAGCUGUCCCAGUGCCGAAGGGAAGCUGUUAAGUCCGCCGCCUGGGAAGUACGGUCGCAAGACUGAAACUCAAAGGAAUUGGCGGGGGAGCACCACAACGCGUGGAGCCUGCGGUUUAAUUGGAGUCAACGCCGG
This 605-nucleotide ribosomal RNA is filed under the name uncultured archaeon. RNAcentral's name for it is "bacterial SSU rRNA". It matches the Rfam family "Archaeal small subunit ribosomal RNA", at positions 316 to 921 of the family's 1478-position model. The record is from RNAcentral.